GAGGAGGAGGAGGAGGAGGAGGAAGAAGAAGAAGAAGAAGAAGAAGAAGAAGAAGAAGAAGAAGAAAGUGCUUCUAUACAGCAGUGAAAUGUUUGUUCCUUCUCACAAACAGGUGUCGCUGUUGUUGUUGCUGUGUUGGCAUGAGCUACUGAAGGAAGGCCUUGGCAGACAAGGAGUCGUACUGCUGUAAGAGCAACAAAGAAACAUGCUGCCAAGGAGCCAAACACAUUGUGGCUAAAUAUAUAUUUUGGUUCAGUAUAAGUUGGCGAGAGCAGGUGAAAGCAGGAACGCAUUCUGGUUUAGAAUCUUGGAGAGCUUCCAUUUGGACAGCCAGAAUUGUCGUAUGUGGAGAAACGGUUAUUGCUUCUUGUCAGAUCACUGAAGUGCUCCGUUACUUGCAGUAGUACAAAGCAAGGAUGCUAAAACUGUUUCACAUCCAAGGAGGGAGAUGCCAGUGGCAAUGGCAGUGAUCUGCUGAACACAUUCCAAAGACCAAUUCAAUGAACCACGUGGGAAUGUAGGGUGUGUGUGUGUGUGUGUGUGUGUGUGUGUGUGUGUGUGUGUGUGUGUAAAGCACCUUGGCAAGGAAAUUGAAUAUUUGCCACAAUAUCAAAGAGGAAACCUGAAUUAGGGACAGAAAGAUGUAUUCAAAACAUGAGCAAUAGAUGCUUGUCCCAUAUGAAACUUGUUUUUAAAAAAUGACAGAUACCUUAGAAUAGAAACUACUCUCAAGACCAAGGCAUACCACAAGCUUAUUGAAACUUAAAAUCAAAUGGACAAACAAAUCCAUGUUUGGCUCUCUUCUUCCAUGUUUUGACUGAAAUAGCAUGUCCUAUGCCUGAAAAUCACACAUCCAUGGUGUGCAGCCCACAUUGAUGAGUGGGUGGAAUCUUAUUUUCCAUCUUUGCCCCCAUAUAUUCUGUUGCUGCUGUUUCUACAGGGAUGCGGGUAGUACUUUAUGCAUCCUGAGAACCAGAAAGGCAGGAAGUUUUGAUGUGCACAUGAACUACAACAGUGUUUUUCAAACAUUCUUUCAGUAAAACCUGGAGUUCCAGUGAGAAGAACAGUAAUGGCAGGCAAGUUUCCCUGAAAGCCCCUUUGCCCAUCUCUACCUCUUUUUGACUAUAGCAAGUGACCCCAGGAGAAUGUUGAAUAGGACACACUCUCCGUUCAUCUCUAUGGGUGACAGUGAUACCCUGGAGGUCUAGACAGCACGUCACAUGAACUGGCUGACUCUGGGCCCUAACAUUUCUAGAAUAUGCUUCAAUUUGCAGGGUUUCUACAGCAGGCAAGUCAUUGUGAAAAAGUGUUCCUGAGGGAAGAAUUUUGAAAAAUCACUGCCCGAGGAGAACGUGCAGAAACUUCCCAAAGAGCUCAAGUCAAAUAUAGAUUUUACUGGAUUGUGAGGUUCAUUCCCUGCCUUCUUUUGUUCUUUCCCAGCAGAGAACCUUCUCCAGACUUCCUUUUGAAACUUUUACAGUAUUUGACCCAUACCUGUUUAGAGAUGUGAAGGCCUGGGAAAGAAAUGGAAAAAUUGGGAACAAACCAGUUUCACCCCCCCUGUUUUUCCCUGAAGUACUGUUUUUCAAAAUAUUGAAAUAUUUUCUUUUGGAAUUAUGAAUAAAAUAUUUAAGAAAAUGUA
Long non-coding RNA from Hemicordylus capensis (graceful crag lizard), 1642 nucleotides. RefSeq lists it as uncharacterized. The transcript has 2 exons. Lineage: Eukaryota; Metazoa; Chordata; Lepidosauria; Squamata; Cordylidae. The record is from RefSeq and is a predicted model, not a curated record.